AGAGUUGAUCCUGGCUAGGACGAACGCUGGCGGCAUGCUUCAUACAUGCAAGUCGAACGAUAAGGUCUCUCGGAGAUACAUAAGUGGCGGACGGGUGAGUAAUAUGUAGGAAAUCUGCCCUUGAGAGGGGGACAACAGAGGGAAACUUCUGCUAAUACCCCAUAUGAGCGUACCUGAAAUGGUAUUCUUGAAAACUCCGGUGCUCAAGGAUGAGCCUGCAUCUGAUUAGCUUGUUGGCGGUGUAAUGGACCACCAAGGCGACGAUCAGUAGCUGGUUUGAGAGGAUGAUCAGCCACAAUGGGACUGAGACACGGCCCAUACUCCUACGGGAGGCAGCAGUAGGGAAUUUUGCGCAAUGGGCGAAGGCCUGACGCAGCAAUGCCGCGUGAACGUAGAAGCCCUUCGGGGUGUAAAGUUCUGUCAGUGGGGACGAAUUUUGACGGUACCCACAGAGGAAGCACCGGCUAACUCCGUGCCAGCCGCUGC
Molecule: ribosomal RNA, 486 nt
Filed under: uncultured bacterium
Lineage: Bacteria
Description: bacterial SSU rRNA
Rfam family: Bacterial small subunit ribosomal RNA
Source: RNAcentral